AUUGAACGCUGGCGGCAUGCUUUACACAUGCAAGUCGGACGGCAGCACAGAGAAGCUUGCUUCUUGGGUGGCGAGUGGCGAACGGGUGAGUAACAUAUCGGAACGUACCGAGCAGUGGGGGAUAACUAAUCGAAAGAUUAGCUAAUACCGCAUAUCUUCUGAGGAAGAAAGCAGGGGACCAUUUGGCCUUGCGCUGUUUGGGCGGCCGAUAUCUGAUUAGCUAGUUGGUGGGGUAAAGGCCUACCAAGGCGACGAUCAGUAGCGGGUCUGAGAGGAUGAUCCGCCACACUGGGACUGAGACACGGCCCAGACUCCUACGGGAGGCAGCAGUGGGGAAUUUUGGACAAUGGGCGCAAGCCUGAUCCAGCCAUGCCGCGUGUCUGAAGAAGGCCUUCGGGUUGUAAAGGACUUUUGUCAGGGAAGAAAAGGGCGGGGUUAAUACCCCUGUCUGAUGACGGUACCUGAAGAAUAAGCACCGGCUAACUACGUG
Molecule: ribosomal RNA, 490 nt
Filed under: uncultured bacterium
Lineage: Bacteria
Description: partial 16S ribosomal RNA
Rfam family: Bacterial small subunit ribosomal RNA
Source: RNAcentral